Molecule: ribosomal RNA, 498 nt
Filed under: uncultured bacterium
Lineage: Bacteria
Description: bacterial SSU rRNA
Rfam family: Bacterial small subunit ribosomal RNA
Source: RNAcentral
AUUGAACGCUGGCGGCAUGCCUUACACAUGCAAGUCGAACGGUAACAGCACUUCGGUGGCUGACGAGUGGCGAACGGGUGAGUAAUACAUCGGAACGUGCCCGAGAGUGGGGGAUAACGCAGCGAAAGCUGUGCUAAUACCGCAUACGAUCUACGGAUGAAAGCAGGGGACCGCAAGGCCUUGCGCUCAUGGAGCGGCCGAUGGCAGAUUAGGUAGUUGGUGGGAUAAAAGCUUACCAAGCCGACGAUCUGUAGCUGGUCUGAGAGGACGACCAGCCACACUGGGACUGAGACACGGCCCAGACUCCUACGGGAGGCAGCAGUGGGGAAUUUUGGACAAUGGGCGAAAGCCUGAUCCAGCCAUGCCGCGUGCAGGAUGAAGGCCUUCGGUUGUAACUAGCUUUGUACGGUAACGAAAAGGUACGUUUUACUUAAUUAAAGAAGGACUCAUGACGGUACCGUAACGAAUAAGACACCGGCUAACUAACGUGCCAGCACG